RNAcentral lists this ribosomal RNA (468 nucleotides) under uncultured bacterium. RNAcentral describes it as "partial 16S ribosomal RNA". It matches the Rfam family "Bacterial small subunit ribosomal RNA", at positions 28 to 507 of the family's 1533-position model. The record is from RNAcentral.
GACGAACGCUGGCGGCGUGCUUAACACAUGCAAGUCGAACGGAAAGACCCUGCUUUUGUGGGGUGCUCGAGUGGCGAACGGGUGAGUAACACGUGAGUAACCUGCCCUUGACUUUGGGAUAACUUCAGGAAACUGGGGCUAAUACCGGAUAGGAGCUCCUGCUGCAUGGUGGGGGUUGGAAAGUUUCGGCGGGUGGGGAUGGACUCGCGGCUUAUCAGCUUGUUGGUGGGGUAGUGGCUUACCCAGGCUUUGACGGGUCGCCGGCCUGAGAGGGUGGCCGGCCACAUUGGGACUGAGAGACGGCGCAGACUCCUACGGGAGGCAGCAGUGGGGAGUAUUGCACAAUGGGCGGAAGCCUGAUGCAGCAACGCCGCGUGCGGGAUGACGGCCUUCGGGUUGUAAACCGCUUUCGCCUGUGACGAAGCGUGAGUGACGGUAAUGGGUAAAGAAGCACCGGCUAACUACGUG